RNAcentral lists this long non-coding RNA (447 nucleotides) under Trifolium pratense (red clover). RNAcentral's name for it is "long non-coding RNA (TPRA_LNC004078)". The record is from RNAcentral. Lineage: Eukaryota; Viridiplantae; Streptophyta; Magnoliopsida; Fabales; Fabaceae.
AAAAUCAAUAAACUCAUCUCCAAUCUCUCUGGCCACAGUUCAUCUAUCAAAACAUUAAUUUUUUAAAAAAAUAAAAACAAAUUCAUACAAAAUCCCCCUCUCACCUUAAAAUCUUCAUGGGAAGCAAAAACCAUUUUUCCAGAUCUGAAGAAAAAAAGGAACACCAUUUCCAUUGUUAUGCAAGAGGUGAUUGUGUAUCAAAUCAACUCAAUAAACUAUUAAUUCUACCAAUUUUCUUAAAUAUUAACAAAUAAUUUUGUUCAGUUAUCCAACCAACGUCUCAUAUUCACUAUUUUUUACAAAACAAAGAAAAACGUUUCAACCAAACCAUGAGGACGGAGCCUCUAUCUUUCACUACGAAUCUGGGCACAAUCUGUGGUUGAAGGGAGAUAGCUUCUGGGUCGUUGGAUUCGAGUAUAGAUAGAACAACCACAUGAAAGAUGUUAA